UACGAAGGGGGGCUAGCGUUGCUCGGAAUUACUGGGCGUAAAGGGCGCGUAGGCGGACAGCUUAGUCAGAGGUGAAAGCCCAGGGCUCAACCUUGGAAUUGCCUUUGAUACUGGCUAUCUUGAGUUCGGGAGAGGUGAGUGGAAUGCCGAGUGUAGAGGUGAAAUUCGUAGAUAUUCGGCGGAACACCAGUGGCGAAGGCGAACUCACUGGCCCGAUACUGACGCUGAGGCGCGAAAAGCGUGGGGGAGCAAACAGGGAUUAAGAAACCCCGGAUAGU
RNAcentral lists this ribosomal RNA (278 nucleotides) under uncultured bacterium. Its description in RNAcentral is "partial 16S ribosomal RNA". It matches the Rfam family "Bacterial small subunit ribosomal RNA", at positions 524 to 794 of the family's 1533-position model. The record is from RNAcentral.